Molecule: ribosomal RNA, 484 nt
Filed under: uncultured bacterium
Lineage: Bacteria
Description: partial 16S ribosomal RNA
Rfam family: Bacterial small subunit ribosomal RNA
Source: RNAcentral
AUUGAACGCUGGCGGCAUGCUUUACACAUGCAAGUCGAACGGCAGCGCGGGCUUCGGCCUGGCGGCGAGUGGCGAACGGGUGAGUAAUGCAUCGGAGCGUGCCCAGUAGUGGGGGAUAGCCCGGCGAAAGCCGGAUUAAUACCGCAUACGACCUGCGGGUGAAAGCGGGGGACCGAAAGGCCUCGCGCUAUUGGAGCGGCCGAUGUCGGAUUAGCUAGUUGGUGGGGUAAAGGCUUACCAAGGCGACGAUCCGUAGCUGGUCUGAGAGGACGACCAGCCACACUGGGACUGAGACACGGCCCAGACUCCUACGGGAGGCAGCAGUGGGGAAUUUUGGACAAUGGGGGCAACCCUGAUCCAGCCAUGCCGCGUGCGGGAAGAAGGCCUUCGGGUUGUAAACCGCUUUUGUUCGGGAAGAAAUCCUCUGGGCUAAUACCCCGGGGGGAUGACGGUACCGGAAGAAUAAGCACCGGCUAACUACGUG